Non-coding RNA from Heterocephalus glaber (naked mole-rat), 321 nucleotides. Ensembl annotates it as small Cajal body-specific RNA 7. Its record names the gene SCARNA7. Lineage: Eukaryota; Metazoa; Chordata; Mammalia; Rodentia; Bathyergidae. The record is from Ensembl.
UGGAAAUGAUGAAAUAGAGAUACUUGGGUGUUGAAUGUUGCAUGACUGGAAAUUUUAAUAGUCUGUUAAUUCUUCUAGUUGAAUAUUUUAUAGUUAGUUAAUAGAAUGUGUGUGCAUGUGUGUGUUUUUGUGGUGGCUAGGAAAGGGGGCACUGAAUGGUGAUGCUGAUAUUGGAGUGCAUCUGAGGCUGUUGUAGAAAUAACAUGGGUUGUUGAUUACAACAUUGCUGAUGAUUAUAACCCAAGAACAGCUCACCUAACCAGCCUAGCACCCCAAAAUCUCUAACAGGUUCAUUAAACAUGGUCCUGUGAUCUGAUCCAA